CAGAGAAUAGUUUAUUAAAAUAUUAAUUUUGGAGAUUAAUGAUAAAGAGUAGCUCUUUUUCCCUGA
Molecule: transfer RNA, 66 nt
Filed under: Curculionoidea sp. 17 KM-2017
Lineage: Eukaryota; Metazoa; Arthropoda; Insecta; Coleoptera
Description: tRNA-Pro
Source: RNAcentral